RNAcentral lists this ribosomal RNA (467 nucleotides) under uncultured bacterium. RNAcentral describes it as "partial 16S ribosomal RNA". It matches the Rfam family "Bacterial small subunit ribosomal RNA", at positions 29 to 507 of the family's 1533-position model. The record is from RNAcentral.
ACGAACGCUGGCGGCGUGCUUCACACAUGCCAGUCGAACGGAAAGGCCCUGCUUUUGUGGGGUGCUCGAGUGGCGAACGGGUGAGUAACACGUGAGUAACCUGCCCUUGACUUUGGGAUAACUUCAGGAAACUGGGGCUAAUACCGGAUAGGAGCUCCUGCUGCAUGGUGGGGGUUGGAAAGUUUCGGCGGUUGGGGAUGGACUCGCGGCUUAUCAGCUUGUUGGUGGGGUAGUGGCUUACCAAGGCUUUGACGGGUAGCCGGCCUGAGAGGGUGACCGGCCACAUUGGGACUGAGAUACGGCCCAGACUCCUACGGGAGGAAGCAGUGGGGAAUAUUGCACAAUGGGCGGAAGCCUGAUGCAGCAACGCCGCGUGCGGGAUGACGGCCUUCGGGUUGUAAACCGCUUUCGCCUGUGACGAAGCGUGAGUGACGGUAAUGGGUAAAGAAGCACCGGCUAACUACGUG